UACGUAGGGUGCGAGCGUUAAUCGGAAUUACUGGGCGUAAAGCGUGCGCAGGCGGUUUCUUAAGUCAGAUGUGAAAGCCCCGGGCUUAACCUGGGAACUGCGUUUGAAACUGGGAGACUUGAGUGUGGCAGAGGGGGGUGGAAUUCCACGUGUAGCAGUGAAAUGCGUAGAUAUGUGGAGGAACACCGAUGGCGAAGGCAGCCGCCUGGGUUACCACUGACGCUCAUGCACGAAAGCGUGGGGAGCAAACAGG
RNAcentral lists this ribosomal RNA (253 nucleotides) under uncultured bacterium. RNAcentral's name for it is "partial 16S ribosomal RNA". It matches the Rfam family "Bacterial small subunit ribosomal RNA", at positions 524 to 776 of the family's 1533-position model. The record is from RNAcentral.